GACGAACGCUGGCGGCGUGCUUAAUACAUGCAAGUCAACGACUUUUAGAGUAGCAAUAUUCUAAAGGAAGUGGCGCACGGGUGAGUAACACGUAGGUAAUCUGCCUUCAGGACUGACACAACUCGUCGAAAGACGGGCUAAUAUCAGAUAAUGCAGCGGCUCCGCAUGGAGACAGUUGUUAAAGUACAAGCGCCUGAAGAUGAGCCUGCGGUCCAUUAGCUAGUUGGUAGAGUAAAAGCCUACCAAGGCAACGAUGGAUAGCUGGUCUGAGAGGAUGAUCAGCCACACUGGAACUGAGACACGGUCCAGACUCCUACGGGAGGCAGCAGUAAGGAAUAUUGCUCAAUGGCCGAAAGGACUGAAGCAGCAACGACCGCCGUGAAGGAUGAAUGGCCUUUGGCCUGUAAACUUACUGUUAAAAAGGG
Molecule: ribosomal RNA, 425 nt
Filed under: uncultured bacterium
Lineage: Bacteria
Description: bacterial SSU rRNA
Rfam family: Bacterial small subunit ribosomal RNA
Source: RNAcentral